AGUCCAUGGUGUGGGCACUUCUUUAGCAUAGUCUUGAAACGUUCUCAUGCCUCGUACAGGGACUCAUCUUCGUAUUGUUUAAAAUUGGUGAUUUCUCACCGAAGUU
Gossypium raimondii (Peruvian cotton) is the source of this 106-nucleotide non-coding RNA. NCBI's taxonomy places the organism in Eukaryota, Viridiplantae, Streptophyta, Magnoliopsida, Malvales, Malvaceae. The record is from Rfam.